RNAcentral lists this long non-coding RNA (545 nucleotides) under Carica papaya (papaya). RNAcentral describes it as "long non-coding RNA (CPAP_LNC010755)". Lineage: Eukaryota; Viridiplantae; Streptophyta; Magnoliopsida; Brassicales; Caricaceae. The record is from RNAcentral.
AGUGGUAGUGGAGAUUUUUAUUUAUAAAGGAAGAGAACAUUUAGAUUUGCAACAAGUGUCACGAAUCUGUGAGCAGAGAAAAAGUGAUGAUGUCACCAUGACAUCAUCUAGUCAAUGAGGAGGCAUAGCUCCUAAGGCAGCAUCGACAGCGGCAACGUGGGGCUCGAGGAAGUGGCAGUGGCGACACGAAGGCUAGAAGCUAUAGUAGCACAGAGCUCGAGGCAGCAGCACAGGGCUGUGUCAGCGACAGCAACAAAGGGCUCGAGGAGCCGCACGCUGUCCAAGUCUGCCUCACACGCGGAGGCUAGUCUAUGUGCCUGGACAGCGCACUGAUGCGCGCAAGUUGUCCUACUAAGCCUCAUCGCAUAGGCGCGCGUGAAGUCAGGCAUCUAACACGACAAGACUACGCACGGGAUCCGCAUGCGUAGGGCGAGCACUGAGCCGCAUGCGCCUAACAUGCACGUCUACGCAUGGAAUUUGUGUGCAGAUUGGGCCCGACAUGGGCCCCAGGCUUAUGGGCUGUGCACUCAUGCGCACGCCCAGCU